UAUAUAAUAUAAAAAUUAUAUUUGAUUUCCAAUCAAAAUAUCUAGAAAUGCUAGUAUAAAUA
RNAcentral lists this transfer RNA (62 nucleotides) under Ceratopus sp. CG351. Its description in RNAcentral is "tRNA-Gly". The record is from RNAcentral. Lineage: Eukaryota; Metazoa; Arthropoda; Insecta; Coleoptera; Curculionidae.